This 401-nucleotide ribosomal RNA is filed under the name uncultured Sphingomonadaceae bacterium. RNAcentral describes it as "bacterial SSU rRNA". It matches the Rfam family "Bacterial small subunit ribosomal RNA", at positions 355 to 774 of the family's 1533-position model. Lineage: Bacteria; Pseudomonadati; Pseudomonadota; Alphaproteobacteria; Sphingomonadales; Sphingomonadaceae. The record is from RNAcentral.
UAGGGAAUAUUGGACAAUGGGGGCAACCCUGAUCCAGCAAUGCCGCGUGAGUGAUGAAGGCCUUAGGGUUGUAAAGCUCUUUUACCCGGGAUGAUAAUGACAGUACCGGGAGAAUAAGCUCCGGCUAACUCCGUGCCAGCAGCCGCGGUAAUACGGAGGGAGCUAGCGUUGUUCGGAAUUACUGGGCGUAAAGCGCACGUAGGCGGCUAUUCAAGUUAGAGGUGAAAGCCCGGGGCUCAACCCCGGAACGCCUUUGAAACUAGAUAGCUUGAAUCCAGGAGAGGUGAGUGGAAUUCCGAGUGUAGAGGUGAAAUUCGUAGAUAUUCGGAAGAACACCAGUGGCGAAGGCGGCUCACUGGACUGGUAUUGACGCUGAGGUGCGAAAGCGUGGGGAGCAAACA